UUAUCUAUUUGUCACUGUAAAAAUAAGUUUUUCGUUUCUUCUGCAUUUGUAUUUUUUCAGGAGAACGAGGAAGGAUCCCCAUCGGUCCAAGGGCUGGUGCAUCAUGGCAGUAUAUCUAUCCAGAGGGGAUAAAAUAUCUUUUGAAUUACACCAAAGACAAUUACCAAGAUCCAAUAAUUUACAUAACUGAGAAUGGGUACAGCCGCUUGCUUGAUGCUAAUGUAUCAGAUGCUAAAGCCUUGAAUGAUAGUCCAAGAAUAGAAUUCCAUUUUCACCAUCUUCGGAAUGUUAUAAAAUCUAUCGACGAUUAUGAAGUUCAAGUCAAAGGUUACUUUGCAUGGUCUUUCACCGACGACUUUGAAUUUACAGAUGGAUACACCAUAGGAUUUGGUUUGGUGCAUAUAAACCGUAAAUCUAAUUUAACAAGACAAAUGAAGCUCUCAGCAUCCUGGUUUUCAGAAUGCCUUUCGAAG
Molecule: long non-coding RNA, 473 nt
Organism: Populus euphratica (Euphrates poplar)
Lineage: Eukaryota; Viridiplantae; Streptophyta; Magnoliopsida; Malpighiales; Salicaceae
Exons: 4
Source: RefSeq, a predicted model, not a curated record